RNAcentral lists this ribosomal RNA (301 nucleotides) under uncultured bacterium. Its description in RNAcentral is "partial 16S ribosomal RNA". It matches the Rfam family "Bacterial small subunit ribosomal RNA", at positions 509 to 807 of the family's 1533-position model. The record is from RNAcentral.
CAGUAGCCGCGGUAAUACGUAGGUGGCAAGCGUUGUCCGGAUUUACUGGGCGUAAAGCGAACGCAGGCGGGCUGUUAAGUCUGGUGUGAAAGCCCCCGGCUCAACCGGGGAGGGUCAUUGGAAACUGGGAAACUUGAGUGCAGAAGAGGAGAGUGGAAUUCCACGUGUAGUGGUGAAAUGCGUAGAGAUGUGGAGGAACACCAGUGGCGAAGGCGACUCUCUGGUCUGUAACUGACGCUGAGGAGCGAAAGCGUGGGGAGCGAACAGGAUUAGAUACCCCGGUAGUCCCUGUCUCUUAUAC